Paramuricea clavata is the source of this 15115-nucleotide non-coding RNA. The record is from the annotation of a GenBank genome assembly. NCBI's taxonomy places the organism in Eukaryota, Metazoa, Cnidaria, Anthozoa, Malacalcyonacea, Plexauridae.
AUUUCAUAUUUUUGUUAGGCAGCCUGCGUCUGAAUGAAAUGGAACACGUGUCCAAAUUGGUAAGGAUGUAACUCAUUUGAUUAUGCAACAAAGAGGAGUGUGCAUGAGAGAAUCACCUCGGAUCCCCAUUUGUUAGGUCUACGUUGCCAUUUCCUUGCGCGUCCUAAUAACAUUUGUAAUGUAGUCUACACGAUGUUUUCUAGAUUAAUGCAAUGUGCCAAAAGCGGGUCACUCGAUUUUUAAGGUAUGUUACAAAAUUAUAUAUUUCCCAACAUGUUUUCAACAACACUAAAAUAAUUGAUAAAUCUAACCAUUGGUCCCUUUUACUAUAUCAAGAAUCACUCGCUAUUCAAAGAUAUAAACCUGAACUUAAUCAUGGACUUAAAGCUUCUAAAGAACUAACCAUAUUUCAUUAAUUCGUUAAUAAUCAACCUAACUAUUGUAUCAUAUUUCUUCAUAUAAAUACCGCUUUUGAUAUAUAACCUAGCUAGUUUAUCCUGAUGAUGACUGAAAUAUAGUCGAAACGUAGAUAAAUAAAAAUGUUAUCGAUUUUUGGAGUUUCACUUGUUUUGUAUUCCAACAUAUAUAUGUUAGGUAUGUUAUUAUACGUAAUAUAAGCAUCAAUUUAAGGUAAGACUCAACCACAAACGCUUCGCAAAACGUUUUAAAGUCACUAGUGUUCUUUAUAAAAGUAAACUGCCUUUUGAAAUGGCUUUAUCGAUAAACUUUUGCAAUAAAGCGAUUUAAAGUUCUCGCUUGCAAAUAACUUUGCUUUCUUUUUUAUUUAAAAAAUUCAAUAUCAUAAAAAAGGGAAUCAAUAGAAUUAAAGAUACACUGAAAUUAUAAGCUGUCUUGUUUAGUUGUUUCAUAAUCUUGUUUCAUAAUCUAAGUCUUGUUUAGUUGUUUCAAAUGUGUCAAUGUGAGAGUGCUACUGCUCAACGGAUUAAUCAGACUAUCUAAUGUACUUUACUAUCUUACUGCGUCUAAUGCCAGACUAUUUUGCUCAUCAAGGAGAGUGCUGGAUCUCGAUGGGUCGACUAGUAUAAUUGCAAAGUAAUUACUUUGGACAAAUGUAUAGCUUACAUAAUUAUAUAUGUUCACUACAUGCAUAAAUGCAAACAUGUAAAUCAAUUCAAACCAUGUAAAUUCACAUUAGAAUUGGUACAUUUAGACCAAGAGAAUGAGCAUAAAAACCUGAGAUAUUAUGUGCAUCAACCCCAUGCCACCCCCACCCCCACCUUAAUCUUAGUAUCCCGAGGGGUUAUAAUCUUUCAAACAGUAAAAUUAUUGUUUUGUAUGUUCUACGUAUACUCACACAUGAAAAAGUUGAAUUUUUGGGUUUUAAAAUUGUUCAGAAUUCAUUGUCCGUAAUUCAAAAUUGUUCAGAAUUCAUUGUCCUGAGAUGAUGUGCAUCAACCCCAUGCCAACCCCCACCCCCACCUUAAUCUUAGUAUCCCGAGGGGUUAUAAUCUUUCAAACAGUAAAAUUAUUGUUUUGUAUGUUCAACGUUACUCAUGCACACAUGAAAAAGUUGAAUUUUUGGGUUUUAAAAUUGUUCAGAAUUCAUUGUCCGUAACAGUGCAUUUACCAGCACUACAAAACAUGCUCAUUACAAAACAUAAUUCUUCCCAGUAUACUGCACUUCCCUGACUGGGGAGGGGGAAUUUCCACAUAAGCGAUCUAUAUCCACUCCUCCCCAUACUUGACUCUUGCAUGCACCUCCCCUGCCUCCUUCCAAAUUAUAAAUUUGGUGCUGUUGACAUGAAGUGCUCCUCAAUUUUAAAUUUCAAAACUUUCCUACUGUGCCUAUGGUGAGUAAUUAAACCUUAAGAAAUCUGUCACUAUAAAAAUAAUGUCAACUGCAUAAAAAAGAUUCAGAAGUUUGUUUCCAAGAUGUUGACACAUUACUUAAUACUGAAUGUAUGUACAGCAGGAAAUUGAAAAAGUUGUUAAUUUAAUUUUAAUUUAAUUUAAUUGCUUUUCCAUCACUACUGUACAGAAACAUACACACAUGUCACAUACACACAUAUACAUACAUAACACAAUGACAUAAACUGAGUUGAUGGUUGGGUAUCCGCAACAGCCUGAAACCAAUUACUGCGGGCCCAAAACGUUAAGAGACAAAUAUCAAUAACACAAAUAACAAUUAAACCAUAGAGACUAAAAACAACAGUUCAUCGAGUUUGUUAAAGUCCUUGCUCUAUUGCAUUUCGGGCAAAUCGUUUUAAAAGUUCGUACAUCAUCACAAUCGUAUGUGUUCGUUAAUGCAGUAUGGUAGUACUCUCGCAUUACAGACUUGAAUGCGUUGAAGUUCUCCAUACUCAAGUCAAGUAUGACCGUCAAUGUGUUCCAUGUUCUGAUGGUUCUUAUCAAGUAUGAUCUUUGGUAGGUUGUUGUUUUGCACCGCGGGACUUCGUACUUUACACCUUUCGUGUUAGUGGACGAUCUUGUAUAUAUUGUUGUCUUGGCGUGCAAGGCAAAGGACGAGCUGGUAAUGCCAUGAGUUACUUUGAAGAAAUGAAUCAUAUCAAGGUAUUCAUGCCAGUAACAUAUGGGCAGCAGAUGGAGAGUUUGCAAUCUGGAUUUGUAAUUUACUGAACUAAUAAAUGGAAGAUUAAGAAUGUAUUUUGUUGCACGUCUUUGAGGUUUUUCUAGUUUGAGCAGAAGUUCGAUAGAUUGAGGUGUCCAGACUUGCGUCGCGUAACCAAGAUGUGAUCGUACCAGUGACAGGUAAAUGGUUCUUCUUGUUUUAAUGCUGUUAAUUGUUCGUGUGUUCCGUCUGAUGUAGCUAAGCAUUUUAUUUGCUUGUGCACACUGUUCGUUGACAUGCUUGUUCAAUGUCAAAUAUAAUGAUGCUAGUGGAGCGUCAUUCAUAAAAUAGGUGGUAGGGAUUGGAUUGGUUUUACGGGUAAUGGAUUGUGCCUUGCAUUUUGCUUCGUUGAAUUGUAAGCCAGAUUCAGAUGACAAGAUCCCCAAGUUAGUGAUAUCUUCCUGUAACUUUAUUGCAUCAUUGGGCGAUUGUAUUGCCUUGAAGACUUUGGUAUCGUCCGCAAACAUUGCAACACGACUUGACUUCACAUUGCUCGGCAGAUCAUUGACGUAGAGGAGGAACAAUGCUGGACCAAGUAUUGAACCUUGCGGUACACCAGACGUGACAGGAAGUAGGUCUGACGUUGCUCCUAACACUGUAACGCGUUGUUUACGAUUUUCUAGAUAGCAACGAAACCAUCUGAGGAGAUUACCUCCAAAACCAUAGUCUUUCUGCAGCUUUCGUAUUAAUACAUCAUGAUCGACUUGUCGAAUGCCUUUGACAUUUAACAAAUAUAAAACAUUUUCCGUGUUGAUAUACAGUUAUAUCAACACGAGUGGAAAUUGGGAAAACGAGAAAUUGUGUGGAAACACGACGCCCGAAGGGCGGAGUGUUUUCACACAAUUUCGAGUUUUCCCAACUUCCACGAGUUUUGAUAUAACUAUAUAUCAACACGGAAAAAAUGUUUUAUAUUUGUUUUAUAAUAUAGCAAUGUCAAAAGCCCGAAGAAUAAGAACAAUUUCCGUGUUACAAGCGGCGGAAAAUUUCCCGUGUUGACAUGGAGUUAUAUCAACACGGCUCUUAGCCAAUCAGCGUUCAGAAUUUACAAAAGCUAUAUUAUAAAUCCAUAUAAAUCAUGUCUAUAUGUCCUCCACUGUCUAAACACGAUCCAACGUAGUCAAGAGUGUCGAUGAGGUUUGAUAUGCAAGAUCUCCCGGCCAUGAACCCAUGUUGACACAUGUUAACUGCAUCAUACAAACGAGUUUUUAUGUUGUUUAGGACACAGCGUUCCAGAACUUUCGAUGUAAUACAUAAUAGGGAAAUUGGGCGAUAGUUCUCAGCAUACUCUUUGUCACCUUUCUUGUGCACGGGCACAAUAUUAGCCAAUUUCCAUUCAUCUGGUAUUGUUCCUGAAAUGACUGAUAUAUUGAACAGCUUGCACAGAGAAGGUGUUAUCAUAUCUGCUGUUUCCCUCAGUAGUCUUGCAGGAAUACCAUCAGGACCUGUUGCUUUGCUUGAAUGAAGUGAUCUCAACACACAAGAAACUUCGGCUUCACUAAAUGUUAAAUCAGUCAUGAUUGGCUCGUCAGACUCAAUGACGUCUUCCUCGUUAGCUUUCUUUGUUGAAAAUACUGACGCAAAGUAGUGGUUGAACAUGUUUGCUAUACCAUCUGGAUUAUCGGCCGCCGUUCGUUGUGCUGUAUUUGCACCAGGUGUGUUGACGUUGUUUGCGGAUGAAAUAAUGUCAGGGAUGUUUCUUGUCUUUGAGCUUCUUUUCAAAACCGACCAGAAACACUUUGGAUUUUGUUUAAUGUCAGUUCCUAAAUUGUUGAAAAACUUUUCCCGACUUUUCCGCAACAUAUGCUUGACUUCAGAUCGCAAGGUUUUGAAUUGCUGCUGUAGUCGAAAAUUGUUUGGAGAAGCCUUAAGUUUUUGCCGAGCUGAGUCUUUCUUUCUUAUGGCGUUAAGAAUAGUACCAUUAACCCAUGGAGCUGGAUUGCGUCCUUUGAUCUUUUUCAUCGGUAUAUAAUGUGAAACGGCUGUUAAAAACGCACCUUUCCAUUGUUGCCAGGCGAUGUUGAUAUCUAUGGCAUGUUCAACGAGAGACGUCAGAUUGAUUGCGUUCAAUGCACGUCGCAGUCCUUCAAAGUCACCAGCGUUGUAGUUAUAGACAUACCUCCCAUCUUUUGGUUUUGCUUUAAUAUUCUCAGAAAACUCGUAAAGGACUGUUGAGUGAUCCGUCAUUAUUUCAGUUGUCUCUGGGGGAAGUACUUCAGACACAGUGACUAAUUCUGGAACAGUUGUGAUAACAAGAUCUAGAGUUUUGUUGGCACGAGUAGGGAUGGUGUUUACUUGAGUGAAAUAGUGGUCAUCAAGUAUGUCAACAAAGUUCGCUUCGUUCGCACCAGAUGCAUUCAAUGUUGCAUCCCACGAGAUGUUGGGUAGAUUAAAAUCACCGGAUAUCACUAUGUUUUUAAACUGAUCGCAAACUUGAUCCAGGAAUGUGUUGAGUGUGCUUGUCCAAGUUCGUUCAGUGUCAGGUGGUCUGUAGCAAGAAGAGAAGAGGAUAUUUUGGUUUGAAGCAGUUUUCACUAUUGCUGAAACAAUCUCUAAUUCUUUUAUGUCAUCCAGGUUAGAGACGAAUUCCUUAACCGAGCUAAACGAACUUGAUUUGAUUGCAACCAAGACCCCGCCUCCAUUUCGUCCAACUCUGUCUUUCCUGAAGAUGUUAUAGUCAGAAUUUAAGAUCUCAGAGUUACUUAUGUUUUCGUUGAGCCAUGUCUCAUUUACACAUACGACAUCCAAAUUUUCUCCGUAAACGAAGUCUUGAAAUCUUUGAAGAUUGCAGAUGAUCGAAUUAGUGGUGACAUCUUUGUGGAUGCUUUUCAAACUUCUGGCGUUUAUUGUGGCACAUUUGAUGGGAAGUUGUUUAGAUGGAGGAGCAGGACCAGGAUUGGUUGCGAUGUCACCAGCAAGAAGAAUACACAAGAGUAGAUGGACAUUAUUGUUUUGGAUGUUAAACUGAAGACCAUAGCGGUGGUUGGGGGGAAAGGAUGAUUUUCUUCUAAUUUUGUCUCGUGUAGAAAUCCAUAGGUUGCAAAAACGUUCAGGUAUUGUUGUUAAUUCUGGAGAAACGGAGAAAUCAUCAGCCGUUAUUCUCUCGUUGAUGGAAAUGAACACAGGUUUGGAUCUUGUUGACAGCCAGAGAGAUACCACGAGACACACCAUCCAAAAUGAUGCCGAGAUGGCAAAGGAUUGGCAGGUUUUACGCAUUUUUAUACUUCUUAUUUCCCAAAAUGUUCUAAUUAAAUCACCAAAUGUUCUUAUGAUUGUUCUAAUAGAUGACCGUUAUUGCACGUGUAAUGACGUAUAUGAUCGUUUGCUCACGUAUGUUGUUUGUAAUUUGCCGCACGCGCUGGAAUCAAACGCAGUUCGUAAUAACGUUCCUUGAAUCACGUAGCCCGUAUGCACACGCCAAAAUCAACCGUCAACUUGCGCGUGCUCAAAAUAUAUUGCAAAAUUCCUUUCAAUUUUACAAAUAAUCCAACAAAAUAAAGCGUAAAUAUUCAAAAUUUUACCAAAUCAACUUCACUUUCCCAGAGGCAAACACUUUAACCACAAUUAUUGUGUGAUGCCAACCCACAAAGUCGUAGAAAUAAGGUAAAACGAUUGAUGGUUUUGCGGUGCGAUUUGACUCGCCGCUCGCGCGCCACGCGCGUCACGUCAUAGGAGGUCACGUUGUUAGGAGGUCAUGAGGGAAACUCUGAAAGCCCUUGAAUGAAAGCUGAAUAACUGUUAUUUAAAAAAAAUGUUGAAGAACUAAUUUUGCAAAGUCUCUGUCAAAUUAAACUAAAUAAUUAUAUUAAUUACUUUGUCCGCAUUAUAACACUUUCUGUUUGUGGAAACACCACGUAAAUUUAUUAAUGCAAAGCUUAGGAUGAAGCAACUAUUUUGGCGAUUGAUAGUCAUAAGUUCUCUCGCAAAAUGAGAGAGUCAAUUGAAAUUGAGAAGCACAAUACUAUUGAUCAGGAGGGAAAGCCACUAGAUAGUACGUGGCGUGCUCUCUUUAAUGUGCAAAAUUAAUUUCUCUUGUCCUGGAUGCGCGCGCGUUAACUGGAAUCACUUCACUACGUUUGGAAUGACGUGGUUGAUGUGCCGUUUAAUUAAAUUUCAAAUGACGCAAGCCAACAGAUCACGACACUUUUGUAUAUAAAAGAGCGUGUGAAUUAAACAAGUCAUAUUAUCAGCACAGAAUAGAAAGUACGACCAGAAGUCUCACUGAGCCAAAAUUAUGUCCGUGAUUUUUAUGCGCAGGCGCGAACCAGCAAGUGUAACCACGAGCCAUCAAACCAUAGAAAUAAUAGAUAUAGAAUGCGUACUUGAUCACGAAUCAUGUCUCCCACUUUUUCUCAUGCGUGCCCUUAUAAAUCCGCCAUGUUGAAUUUGUCUAGGAGCGCCAAAUACAAAAUAUAAACAAAGCUAAAACUACGUUUUCAUCGUCUAAUUUGUAGUUUGGGGAUAGAUUUUAAGUUAUUUGAAGGCACAAACUGUCAUGUCCACAAACUGAACAUGGCCACACAUUAGAUCUUAUCAUAACACGUUCAUCAGAUUCUAUUAUUUUGAACGAACCAAAACUGGGCCCCUUUCUUUCUGACCAUUGUAUUAUAAAUUGCCACCUUAAUGCAAGAAAAGCUAAACCUACAAUUAAGCAAGUUACAUUUAGACGGACCAAAGCUAUUAACAUUGAGACUUUCAAAACUGAGCUAUUAGCAUCUGAUUUGAUUGUUAAUACCCCCUCAUGCCUGGAUGAAAUAGUUGGUUUAUACAAUUGUACUCUGGAAUCCAUGUUGGAUAAAUUUGCUCCAGCUAUUUCGAAGACAGUAGUGAUUCGUCCAUCGGUCCCUUGGUUCAAUGAUGACAUUAGGGGGGCAAAACGCGCUAGACGCUCUGCCGAACGUAAGUGGAGGUCAUCCAAUGCUCUCUGUGAUCUAAUGGAGUAUAGAGUUAAAAGAAAUAACUUGAAUUUUGUAAUGAAACAAGCGCGAACUAAUUAUUAUCAAAAUCUUAUUGAGGAAAAUGGCAGUGAUCAACGUAAACUUUUUAAGUUGUCUAAGGAGCUUUUAAAUCUGAAUCCGAAACAGCUUUUCCCUCAACACUCAGAUAACUACAUUUUGGCUAACUCUAUUGGUUCAUUUUUUACUGAGAAAAUAACGAAAAUCAGAUCUGAAUUGGAUUCAAGACCCUUGUCAUGUGAUGAUUUACCAUCUACCAGCGCCAGUCCUAAUGCUACAUUGACUAAUUUUGAACUUUUGAGUGAGACACAGAUUCGGAAUCUUGCUGUUUCUUCGGUGAGAGGAUCUUGUAUUUUAGACCCGAUCUCUGCUUCUCUGUUCAAUGAGAGCUCCGAUGUGUUGCUGCCUUUGAUUACUACAAUGGUGAAUCUGUCUUUGCAAUCCGGCUGUUUUCCAGAUAUAUGGAAAAUAGCAAUCUUGAAACCAUUGCUUAAGAAACGAGAUUUAGAUCCGGUCUUUGGGAAUCUUCGACCAAUUAGCAAUUUAUCCUCCAUAUCCAAGCUGACAGAACGUGCAGUUGUUGAUCAAGUUUAAUGCUAUCUGACUACAAACAGUCUCUAUAUCCUUUAUUACAAUCGGCUUAUAGAAAAUAUCACAGUACUGAAACGGCCUUGUUAAAAGUAAAGAAUGAUUUGUUAAUGAAUAUGAACAAGGGUCAUGUGUCAAUAUUGGUUUUGCUUGAUAUGAGCUCAGCCUUUGACACCGUAGAUCACGAGAUCCUGAUCCAAAGACUUGAGACAAAGUUUGGUUUUAAAGGUACUGUUCUUGCAUGGUUUUCAUCUUACCUUAAUGGACGACAGCAGAGGGUCUUGGUAAAUGACUCACUUUCUGAUAUCUUUGAGUUGAAUUGUGGAGUUCCACAAGGAUCGUGUCUUGGCCCUUUGUUGUUUACUCUAUAUGCUAGUGAAAUAUUUGAUAUUAUUGAGCGUCAUCUCCCUGAUAUACACGCAUAUGCUGACGAUUCCCAGUUGUAUAUAUCAUUUAAUCCUAAUAGCGUUAAUGAUCAAGAAGCAGCUAUCCUUGCAAUCCAACAAUGCAUUGAUGAGUUUGAGCAAUGAUGGAAAAACAGAAAUUAUUUUAGUUGGCACAUCUCAGCAGUUAAAGAAGGUUGGAAUUAAUACAAUGAAAAUUUGUAACAUAGAAAUUACACCAGUUGAUGUGGUCAGAGAUCUAGGUGUUUGGCUCGAUUCAAGACUUAGAAUGGACACUCAUGUUACUAAGAUUUGCAGUGCUGCCUUUUAUCAUCUCUAUAACAUCAGACGAAUUAGGAAAUUUCUGAGCAAGAGCCACACUGAAACACUUAUACACGCAUUUGUGACAUGUAGAUUGGACUACUGUAAUAGCCUCCUGUAUGAACUUCCUGAUACCCUCAUUUCAAAGCUUGAACGUGUACAGAAUGCAUGUGUUCGUCUAGUUUAUCAUGCACCUAAACAAUGUCACAUUACACCACUUUUGCAGGACCUCCAUUGGUUACCUGUUAAAAUGAGGAUUAUGUUUAAGAUUUUGCUCCUUACAUUUAAAGCUCUUCAUCAGCUGGCUCCAUCAUAUUUAUCGGAACUUAUCACAAUUACCACGCCUGGUCGUUACAAUUUACGUACGUCUAACAAUGGCCUUUUAUUAUCUCAUCCUCGGGGUAAAUCAAAGAAAACGCUUGGUGAUCGAUCGUUCAUGGUUGCUGCGCCAACAUUAUGGAACAGCCUUCCAGCCAAGAUUAGGGACAUACAACAGUUAACUCAUUUUAAAUCAAAUCUUAAAACAUAUCUAUUUAAGAAAGCUUUUAUCGAAAAUAGAUAAUUUUUUUUUAACUAUUUCUAUGUAUAUUUAAUGUUUUAUAUCAGUGAACACCAACUAAUUUUGUAAUUAAGAUAAUGUAGCUAAACUAUGUACCAUUUUAUUGUAAUGCGCAUAGAACAUUUUAUGAAUAUGCGCAAUAGAAAUACAAUCUAUUAUUAUUAUUAUUAUUAUUAUAAAGCAACUGUGCAGUUACAAAAACGGUGAAAAUAGUGCAGCCUUGUAAAAACAAAGUAGUUUCGCGUAAAUAUAAUUUACUCAUAAAACAUUUUUGCAUGCUCUGAACGUCACUACUUAAUUCACUGUUUUGCUAAUAUUUUAUAAGAUUACAAAAUAAUGGUUCUUUCUUCGUCGGCGGGUUUCGUUUUUCUUCAAUGUAAACGAAGUGUUUCACAUGUUCUUGAAACAAAAACAUUUAGUUGUCGAUAAACUGUAAAUUGUCUAAAUAAUCGUUGAAAACCAUGGUUUCAUAAGCGUUGCCUCAAGCUCAAGCAACGUAGAAAAAGAUGAAAAGUAAUUGUGUAAGUUUAAAAAGCAAGAGUGGGUUGACCAAAGUUUUUGUAGUUCGCUAUAACUACAGCUACUUCAAAAAUAUGUAAUCAGCUACAGCUACUGCUACUUUUGAACAAAGGUAGUUCGCUACUGACUACAGCUACUGCUUAAAAAAUGUAGCGAACUAUUUCGCUACUCUAUAUUUUUUAGUUUUACGGUAUUUUAAGCAUCCACUAGCUCUGGCUGUAAUAUAACCUAUAACAAAUCGACUUACGAGUAGCAACAGUAAACAAAAAGGCUCAAAGCAACAUUUUAAUAAACUUUUCAUUGCGCUAAAAUAAUCUUUACUGUAUAAAAUAAUCUUCUAAGCAAACCGUGUCUUAUCGUCAUUCUAUUCUAUGGACGGUUGCUAACAAUUUUAAAAAGUAGCGAAUAGCGAUUCACUGUUUGAAAAGUAGUCGACUAUUUUGCUACUUUUAAGCAAAAUGUAGUUCGCUACAACUACAACUACUGUUUUACAAAAGUAGUCAAAAACUACUGGCUACAUGAAAAUUGUAGUUUGCUACAGUAGCGAACUACAACUACUUCGCUACUACCCAACCUCGUUAAAAAGAUUAUUGAACUUCAUUUAUAUUAUAAAAGAGUUGAAAUAUUUGUAGAACAUACCUAUUGAGUUUGAGUUUGUCUUCAUCUUUUGGGUUUUGUUUUGGCUUGCCCACAACGUUGAAAAUUUAUUUUUAAACGACGAUUUCUGUAUAUAUUCUGUUCAGAACUGUUGCUUUUCGUAAAAAAGCCCACCAGAAUGGGCAGGGGCGGAGCGAAGACUAUCCUUUUCGGGCGGUGCAAGACAACUUUUUGCCGACAAAAGGGCGUGGCUAGCACGUUGUUAGGGCGUGGUCAAAACGAACCGUAUUCAUUUUUAAGUGAUGUAUAACGAUGAAAUCCGAGUAGUAAGAUAAUUUGUUUUUUAAAUAGGCGAAAUAGUUCCUUAAAAUACCUGGUAUAAAUGUCAAAAAAGCACAUCCAAUCGUCAUCAAACGACCGAUUACAAACUAAACACGUCAGUUUCUCUCUCUUCCGUUUGCGUUUUUGCUUGCUACUGUCCAUUCUUUUAAAUCAUCUUCGUAUUUCUCAUUGUAUAUAAGACCGUUAGGGGUAAUUUCUAAGACCUUUACUGGCUUUACAAAAUUAUAAAAUGAAGAGUUUCCUAUGGUAUCAUAUUUCACAAAAUUGCAAGAAAAUUUAAUACUAUUAAAUAGCGUAUUGGAGUAAUAAGUUCUCGGCCAAUUUGGUUGAAUGUUUGGAAAAGGACCGAGCUUUCAGUCGACAUAUCCCUCUUUUCGAUCUCGCAUUUUCUACAAAUUUUCUACAAACGAUCUGAUUACAAUCAGGUAUUCCCUAUUGGCUUGAUCCAAUUCAUUAUGUUCAGUUUCCAAAGAUAUGUGUGGCUUGGUAGUGUAACUUGCCACCCAGAAAGGAGUGUCAUUGUGGAAUAAAUCUGCAAUAAACAAGAGUAGAUUAAUUAUGUAGGUUGUACAAAAAUCCACCAGAAACAUAAUUAGCAUAUGAUCAAGAUAAAUGGAACCAGGGGCAUAGGAACCGGGGGAGGCAAGUUUUGGCAAGGGCCCUUUUUUCAGGAGCGAAGUGCCCUUUUUUUGCCUGAAAAAUUUUCAUUAAAAUUGCCUUUUUUGCCCAAGAGGUACUUUUGAAAACUUCAAGCUACAUUAUUUCCUUCGUAUUUAGGAAAAAAUUGUGGAAUAUCCGGAAAAUUUUUAAGGGUGUGUCCGUAAAAUUUUUAAGGGUGUGUCCGGAAAUUUUUUUGCAGCCUAAAAUGGUACCCUGACCGAAAUUUUUUUGGCGACGGGAAGAGGGGGGGGUAGGUCGCCAAAAAAAGUCGAAAAGUUCCCCUCAAAGCCCCCAACUUUUCGAAGGUUCCCACGCCCCUGAAUGUGACCUAACUUCUCAGCUUAAACUAGGGGUAUCAGAACUAUGACUCAUUGAGUGCACUUAUAAAGGUACAUUGCUCAUUCACAGUGAUAUUUUAAUACUGAGAAAACUUGUAAGAAAACAGGCCAUCCUGGAAAUGAGGUUUAUGUCUGUUUAUAAAACGAGACCUCAGGAGUCAACCUUUUAAACAUUAUUACACUAGACAGUUCGCACUUUAAAGACCGUCUUAAUCCUGGUAUAUGUGACUGAAUAUCGAUCAAAGCUUCGUAGUUUGUAACCAAAUAUUUUGCGAUACGUCACAAAAUAAAGCUCUCUGAUUUGCUGAAAAUGUUUAAAAUUUCAAAAAAACUCUCCGAUUGGCUGGCUGAAAUUUCCCAGCGAAUCAGAGAGCUUUAUUUUGUGACGUAACGCCGGGAGCCAUCAUCCCGCAUAGUUUUGUUCAAAUCGAGUACGAAUUUUCCUCGGAAUUUUCGCAAAAUUAACUCGUUUAAAAAUGAAAAAAACACAAUAUAGAAGUAUUACAGUUAUUUCUUACCAUAGUGAGUUAGUUUUUUUAAUGAAUUUCGAUGUUUAUGUACGAGUUUUUCGUCAUUAAGUUUGUGUAUACAGUUUUAAAUUUGUAUUUACUUGCCAACCUUGGGGAUAUAUAUUACACGGCAAAAAACGCCGAGACCGUUGCUCAACAGGACUGAACAGGGCCGUAGCAACCGGGGGGGGCUGGGGGGGCUGCAGCCCCCCAAUAAUUUGCUAAUAAUCAUUCUUUUUUCAAAAUCAUGCAAACUUUAUCAUUUAAUCUGUGACAAACUGCAAAGAGUGAAGAUAUUACUCAUACUCCAGAUCGUUCCUCGCGUAGAAAUUUUAGCUGAAUUUCUGUCACGCAUUUUCAAGAAAAUCCCACAAAAUCUGCACAUUUUUGAUGAACUAAUGAUUUAUUUUGUCUUUUGCGUGUUGGGUCUUGCGAAAGAAAACUCUGAAAAUGCCAUUUCAGGCCAUCUAGAGACUCCAGAUUUUCGAAAUUUUCUCAAAUGUUCUGCCUUCAUUUCCGCGCAACUGCCAUUUACGACGAAAAUUCCCGCCGCGCAUUUAUAAUACUACAGUCUGGCCCAUACUUUCCUGUAAAUUUCGACAUACUAAAACGCUGUUUUCUGACUAUCAGAAUUCUGUUAAAUCUUCCCCCAAAGUCCAGGAAAUGGCAUUUUAGAGACUCUAAAUUUAAAAUUUCCUCGGGCCUUUGGCCCUCGCUUUCAGCCCCCAAACCCAAAGAGCAAAAGGCCUCCCUGCUGAACAAUGUUUUGCUGCCCAUGUUGUUCACACUUGUCAACAAUAUUGAACAAUGUUGUUGAGCCUGAAUCGGGUGUAACAAUAUUCUUCAAUGUUGUUGACAGCUAUGAACAAUGUGGGCAGCAAAACAUUGUUCAAUCCUGUUUUUAUCAGUAUUGCAUCAACCUGAGCGUUUUUUGCUAAUGCACAACGCUAUUGUGAUGUUGCAUGUACUUCAUGUAAUACAAAUUAUAGAGGUUUUGCUGUACAUUGAAGCAUUGCAUGUCAAAGCAUUGUAUUUUAAAGCAAAUUGUAUGGAUUUUUUUUUAAAUAAAAGACCUUUUCGGGAGACCUAUGAUCAAACGCGAGCAAUUACGCCAUCAAUUGCCAUCACCAGGUAAUAAAGAUUGCUGUUUUAACCGUUUUGCUGACAAACGCUGACGUGAUGUUCGCAGCAAGUGUCACACACGUCAUCCAGCGUGCAAAAUUCGUGAUCCGCAAGGCAAAAAUCGCGGACACGAAAAUGUUAAUUAGGAAAGGUAACCAGUGAGACUUCUGAUUGUAUUUUUAUUCUGUUUUAAUUAGCAAUGAGGAAGAUCCGGGCUUACGGAUCGAAAGCUUUGCAUUAAUAAAUUUACGUGGUGUUUUCACAAACAAAAAGUGUUAUAUAUUUUAUCACCAUGCAAUCAUACAAAGAACUUAUUACUUUGUCAUUAUUUAAAUACAGCUUGUCAUUAUUAAAUACAUUUAAUAUAAUAAAAAUAUAAUCUUUAAAUAAAUUAACACUCUUUGAUGAAAUUGAUAUAAAAUCAAUAAAGUAUGUCAAUUUAUAUUUUAUAAUAUACUAUAUUUAUUAUCUAUGAAUGGUAUUGAAUCUCCUCACCCUCGUGGAGUCUUGCAUUAUUAAUAAUAAACAACUGCAAUACAUGCACAUUCAUUCACAAUCAGGAUUUUGUCAUUGUAAUUGAAUGAUUCAAGACACCACUCGCAUUUUUUGUAGAUUUGUGCAAUUAACAGUACAGUCUUUCUCGCAUAGCCUUUUGUCUGUCUUUGUUUAUACUUUGUAUAUAAAAUCUUGUAUUUACAAAAUGUCCAUUUGACCCUUUGCCCUUUGGUGAUUUCAAUCUUUAAAUAAUCCACUGGCCCAAUUUUGUGCAGCCUUUUAAUACAUUGUGACACAACGACCAAUAUGUUUUGUAUUAAAAAUAAAAUUUCCAUUGACAGACUGCAGAAUUCAACGACCAGAACGACUCUUCGCCUUCGUUGAAGAGUUAUUAUUAAAUACACUCCUAUAGUCAGCCAUAUUUUUUCGGCACAAUUUCGUGUUCAAUUUCCGCAUUCCAUUGUUUUCAUGCGACCAAUCAACUUACUUCUCAUUUUGGUUUUCGCCAGGGCCUCCAGCAACGCAGUGUCAGCUGUGAGGCCCUGGAACAGAGGAUGACUGCAAACUGGCAGUCGAAAACUCGUAAUAAUAAAUGUAUAAAAACCAGAGAACGUCUAAAAACGUAUUAUAAUUCAACAGUUGCAUAUUGAAGGAUGAAGCCAUGGACACAUGGGGAUAUUGUGAGAAAUUAGUUGGAGUGAUAAAUUCUCAGUGAAGGAUACGAACUGCGAGAACUGGAAAUGAUACAACUAUAUCUAAAACAUGCAAAAAUAACUUUGCUCAAACUCCGAAGUUUGUUUUGUACUUUCAGAUAGUUUUGUCAUUUACAAAACUCGCUAUGAAUUCAAGUUCGACCCGAGUUGAUAUACCUUUCUAAUAUACCUUUCCAAUCUUACCAACACAACUCCCAAAAUUGAGAAAUUGUUUUAUCGCUAUUAUUGAACUUUAUUUUUAGUAACGAGGAGACCCUGAGGAUAAGAACAAAGAUCCUGAGUAUGGUGGCCGCCGAAGUUCUUGAGGGCGAGAAUAUCCAGUAAGUUUUGUUUCAUAGUUUAUAUAUUGGUAAUUGAUAAAACUAGAAUAGUUUAUCGCAUAGUAUUAAAACCUGUCUUUGGGCAAUUUUAGCAUGGCUAACACGAG